Molecule: ribosomal RNA, 301 nt
Filed under: uncultured bacterium
Lineage: Bacteria
Description: partial 16S ribosomal RNA
Rfam family: Bacterial small subunit ribosomal RNA
Source: RNAcentral
CAGUAGCCGCGGUAAUGCGAAGGGGGCUAGCGUUGCUCGGAUUUACUGGGCGUAAAGGGCGCGUAGGCGGACAGUUUAGUCGGGGGUGAAAGCCCGGGGCUCAACCUCGGAAUUGCCUUCGAUACUGGCUGUCUUGAGUACGGGAGAGGUGAGUGGAACUCCGAGUGUAGAGGCGAAAUUCGUAGAUAUUCGGAAGAACACCAGUGGCGAAGGCGACUCACUGGCCCGUUACUGACGCUGAGGCGCGAAAGCGUGGGGAGCAAACAGGAUUAGAUACCCCCGUAGUCCCUGUCUCUUAUAC